Molecule: RNA transcript, 2794 nt
Organism: Daktulosphaira vitifoliae (grape phylloxera)
Lineage: Eukaryota; Metazoa; Arthropoda; Insecta; Hemiptera; Phylloxeridae
Exons: 5
Source: RefSeq, a predicted model, not a curated record
UGUGUAAGAACUUUUUCAACUCGAUCAAACAUGCGUAGACACGAAAAAACGCAUUUGGGAAUAAGAAACCGAUGUGACUUUUGUGACGCAGAUUUUAAAUACUUUGGAGAUUUAAAAAAACAUUUGAACAAACAUAUUACAAUAAUUUCGGAACAAAAUCGUCAGAGAGCUAGUGUAAUAACACAUACUUCAAACUAUUAUGAUAAUGAACAUUUAUACGUACAUUCCACCUCAAAUUAUCAAGGUCCAUCUAUUGUUUCAUUGAAUAAACGCAAACAUGAAGACAUUUGGGGUGGUGAACUUGGGGAUCAAAUCUGUCUAGAAGCCGAUUCAGCAUUAACUAGUACUGCUAGUUCUACCGCAGGUCGUCGAACAAAAAAACAACGUCUAGAAGAGGUUAAAACAGAAGGAUUCCAAUUAAUCCAGUCUGCAUUUGGAGGUAUGAUAAAAAAUUAUUAUAAGAAAAAUCUCACUCUAUUGCCUCACUACCAGUUGUUUCUCGAUGAAGCCAAGCCCGAGAUAAUAAAGUUGCUUACUGAGUUAAUAUCAAAAGACUCUAUUAAAUUUAACUUAAAACUGGAGGGUACAUAAAAAAUCCUCCAUACAUCAGUUAUAGAAAUAGGUCUUUCAAAACCGCUGCUCGAACACUAUGCAUGGCUGACAACGAUUUGCAUGCCAUACUAGAAGAAGAAUUUAAUAAAUUAAUGCAUGAAGAAGAAGUUUACACAUCAAAAGGAUCUGGCUUUUCAAUAGACAGCGUCGACGGUUUACUACUAAGUGUGUAUUGUUAUAAACCAAUCGGGGGCUCAUCGUACAUCAAAUUACCCAACAGCAUUGAAGCACGUAAGGCAAUCAUUAAUGUAAAAAAUAAUGAUGAGAUGUGUUUUAAAUAUAGUAUUAUGGUAAAAUAUGUUGACACGCCAAAUCCAAGCAGAAUUAGUCACUACCUAAACGCACCAGAAAACUACGAUUUUUCAGAAUUAAACUAUCCAGUUGAAGUCAAGGACGUCAAAAAAUUCGAAAAAAGGAAUCCGGGUGUCUCUGUGAAUGUGUACGGAUUGAAAAUGUGUGAGCCAACAUGUAACGUUGAUAAAAUCCACAACCGCAAAAAUAACAAAGAGUAUAUUGUUGUUCCUUACAAGAUAUGUGAUCAAGAGUUGAACGAUCAUUUCGACCUACUAUUGUUUAAUGAUGAAUCAACUAAUGGUGAUAAAUAUCAUUAUGCCUACAUUAAAAAUUUUUCUCGUUUGGUAAGAUCACAAAUUAUUAAUCACAGAGCUACUAUGGCUAUAUGUAAGCGCUGUUUCAAGGGGUAUAUCGACGAACCGAAUAAACCAGACAAGGCUGUUCGUUUAGCCGAACAUAAAAGACAGUGUGUAUUAAAUAAACCUGUUGCGCCUAUUAUGCCCACCGUCGGCAGUUCAUUACGUUUUCAAAAUUGGGGCAACACUCAUAAGCAUGACGUUGUAAUUUAUGCUGACUUCGAGGCGAUGCUGGUUAAAAAUACGGACGACUUAGCGGCAACUUCAAGUGAGAAAAAACUAUUAUUACACAUAACCAUGAACCUAUGUCAUUUGUUUACAAGGUAAAAUCAGGUGAAAAUGUUCCUGAAGAAUUACUUCAUGCAUACAAUAUACCUGUUAACCCAGUAGUGUUUUGCGGAGACAGAACCAACAAUGAAGUAGGAAAAAAGUUUGUUAACAGUAUUGUGGAUUUGUGUAGAAGAAUUGAACAACUUCUCAAAACAAAUCAACCGAUGAAGAUGACAAGGGAGGAUUGGAACGUUCAAACACUAUUCUAAGUGGAGGUAAAUGUCCAUUAUGUACAAGUCAAUUCACUGAAAGGAACCAUGCAGUACGAGACCAUCACCAUUUAAGUGGCAAGUUUAGAAACACUGUAUGUAAUUCAUGUAACUUAAGAAUGCAGACACCAAAAUUUGUACCUGUUUUCGCUCAUAAUAUGAAUUAUGAUAAAAGUUUCAUUAUUGGCGAGUUGGGUUUUGACGCACAUACACUGUCCGUGGUACCAAAUAGUGAAGAAAAGUUUAUAUUUUUUUCAAAGUACAUUUCAAACAAAUUUUCUGUACGUUUUCUAGACACCUUUAAAUUUAUGUCGUCAAGUUUAGAUGCGCUUAGUGCAAAUUUAGCUCGUUCAGACAAGACUAAAUUCAAAUCUGUAAUGUCUGCAUAUCAGAGCAGAGAUUUAGAUUUAGUUUUUAGAAAAGGUGUGUUUUGCUAUGAAUACAUGAAUAGUUGGGAAAAAUUGGAAGAACGUUCUUUACCACCUAUUGAAGAAUUUUACAGUUCACUUACAGAAAAACAUAUUUUACCAGAAGAUUAUGCACACGCUCAAAAUGUUUGGCAGCGGUUUAACCACCAAACUUUAAAGGAUUACGUUAUUUGGUACAAUGAGUUGGAUGUACACCUUCUUUGUGAUGUAUUUGAAGCUUUCAGAGACCUGUGUUUAUCAACCUAUGGACUAGACCCCUGUUUUUACUAUACCGCUCCGGGUUUAUCAUUUGACGCCAUGCUGAAAAUAACUAAAGUCGAGCUUGAACUUUUAACGGACUAUGAUAUGCUUCUGUUCAUAGAAAACGGAAUAAGAGGUGGUAUCACUCAAGCUGUAAAAAGGUAUGCCAAAGCAAACAAUAAAUUUACGACUGGUUAUGAUGCGAGUGAACCGUCAAGCUGGCUGAUAUAUUUAGAUGCUACUAAUUUGUACGGAUGGGAUAUGAGUCAAGCUCUUCCCCGAAAAAACUUUAGGUGGUAUGAAAAGGACAUAGCUGUAAGUGCUG